GGAGGGGGCUAGCGUUGUUCGGAUUUACUGGGCGUAAAGGGCGCGUAGGCGGUAUGCCAUGUCAGGGGUGAAAGGCCUGGGCUCAACCCAGGAACUGCCUUUGAAACUGGCAAACUAGAGUCCGAUAGAGGAUGGCGGAAUUCCCAGUGUAGAGGUGAAAUUCGUAGAUAUUGGGAAGAACACCAGUGGCGAAGGCGGCCAUCUGGAUCGGCACUGACGCUGAGGCGCGAAAGCGUGGGGAGCAAACAGGGAUUAGAUACCCUGGUAGUCCACGCCGUAAACGAUGUGUGCUAGACGUUGGGGGCCCUUAGGCCCCUGGGUGUCGCAGCUAACGCGUUAAGCACACCGCCUGGGGAGUACGGCCGCAAGGUUA
This 373-nucleotide ribosomal RNA is filed under the name uncultured organism. Its description in RNAcentral is "partial 16S ribosomal RNA". It matches the Rfam family "Bacterial small subunit ribosomal RNA", at positions 527 to 896 of the family's 1533-position model. The record is from RNAcentral.